UACGUAGGGGGCAAGCGCUGUCCGGAAUUAUUGGGCGUAAAGAGCGCGUAGGCGGUCCGAUAAGUCGGCUGUGAAAGUCAGGGGCUCAACCCUUGGAAGCCGGCCGAUACUGUCGGACUAGAGUCCGGAAGAGGCGAGUGGAAUUCCCGGUGUAGCGGUGAAAUGCGCAGAUAUCGGGAGGAACACCAAUGGCGAAGGCAGCUCGCUGGGACGGUACUGACGCUGAGGCGCGAAAGCGUGGGGAGCAAACAGG
Molecule: ribosomal RNA, 253 nt
Filed under: uncultured bacterium
Lineage: Bacteria
Description: partial 16S ribosomal RNA
Rfam family: Bacterial small subunit ribosomal RNA
Source: RNAcentral